AACGAACGCUGGCGGCGUGCCUAACACAUGCAAGUCGAACGGAUGUAGCAAUACAUUAGUGGCGCACGGGUGAGUAACGCGUGGGAAUCUGCCUUAUAGACUGGGAUAACACUGGGAACUAGUGCUAAUACCGGAUACGCCCUUAGGGGGAAAGUUUUUCGCUAUAAGAUGAGCCCGCGUUGGAUUAGCUAGUUGGUGAGGUAAAGGCUCACCAAGGCGACGAUCCAUAGCUGGUCUGAGAGGAUGAUCAGCCACACUGGGACUGAGACUCGGCCCAGACUCCUACGGGAGGCAGCAGUGGGGAAUAUUGGACAAUGGGGGGAACCCUGAUCCAGCCAUGCCGCGUGUGUGAAGAAGGCCUUAUGGUUGUAAAGCACUUUAAGCGAGGAGGAGGCUCUUUUGGUUAAUACCCAAGAUGAGUGGACGUUACUCGCAGAAUAAGCACCGGCUAACUCUGUGCCAGCAGCCGCCGUAA
RNAcentral lists this ribosomal RNA (475 nucleotides) under uncultured bacterium. Its description in RNAcentral is "partial 16S ribosomal RNA". It matches the Rfam family "Bacterial small subunit ribosomal RNA", at positions 29 to 523 of the family's 1533-position model. The record is from RNAcentral.